Calliphora vicina (urban bluebottle blowfly) is the source of this 1179-nucleotide long non-coding RNA. RefSeq lists it as uncharacterized. The record is from RefSeq and is a predicted model, not a curated record. Lineage: Eukaryota; Metazoa; Arthropoda; Insecta; Diptera; Calliphoridae. The transcript has 2 exons.
UCUUUUCAGAGCAAAAAACCCCGUGAAAUAUCACAAAAUCAACCCCCAAUAUUUAAAGGCAAAAAAAAAACAUCAACAAAUUAGUGGAUGCAAUCAGAAGCUGAGCAAAUAGCAGCAGUUUUAAAUAAUAUAAAGGUUUAAAAAAAAAAUAUUGUUUGACUUCACAAAUAAACAACAACCAUGCCCCGUCAUCAUCGUAGAAGUCUAUCUCCAUUGGAAGAACAGAACCGUAGCCACCACCGACGCAACAUUCGCCGUAAUAGACAGUCUCCUGACUGCCGUUUAUGUAACAAGGACCACUCGCUCCGAAAGUGCAUCAGAUUUAAGAAAAUGAAUGUUGCAGAGAAAGAAAAGGUUGUCAAACGAUAUCGAUACUGCGAGAACUGUUUAGCACACUCUCAUCUUGUCAAUCGGUGCCGCAGCACAGAUCGCUGCCGCCAAUGUGGUAGUAGGCAUCACACUUUAUUGCACCGCCAUGAACGUUUACGUGAAAACCAGACUGCUAUUGUUGGCCAAUCAUGCUCAAGUCUGAGUACUGUCACUCUGCUGCCUACUAUUGUAAUAAAACUUGAGCUUGGAGAAGAAUGGGGCAACGUAAGAGGUCUUCUUAACCCUUGCACAGAGGUGAGUUCUAUUGCAGAGUUUCUCAUAGAACGAUACAAUAUUCCUGUGGAAAAAAUUGGUUCUGAUUUCUGGGCCAAGGUAAAGAUUCGACCACGCUUUGAAGAAACACCUAUAUGUGCUAUUACCGUGAAAGUUGACAAGAAUCUCCCACGUAAACAACCAAAAGAGAAAAUCGAUGAAAGAGUUGCUUCUCUCUACACAAACCUUCGUCUCGCAGAUCCCAACUUCUACAAAAACGAAGAUAUCAACAUCAUCCUUGGCGCCGAUAUAUAUCCACGGAUUAUCAAAUCCAGCCUACAGCCUGAAUCUAUUGGCACUCCCAUGGCACAAGACACCGUACUAGGCUGGAUAAUUAUUGGCCGAUUCGGGGUUUGAUUUUUGUACUGCUGUAUUUAUCUAACAUCUUAUAUUUUAUUAUAUUUGUUAUUCAACUAAUUUAAAUUUAUUUAAUUAGCUUGGCUAUCUCUGAAUUUUGUAAUUAUAUUUUAACUGGAAAAAUUAGAAAUUGAAUUUGUUAAUAUUUAUCAUACUUUUGAAUUAAACAAAUGAAUUUUA